UACGGGAGGCAGCAGUGGGGAAUAUUGCACAAUGGGCGCAAGCCUGAUGCAGCCAUGCCGCGUGUAUGAAGAAGGCCUUCGGGUUGUAAAGUACUUUCAGUCGUGAGGAAGGUGUUAAGGUUAAUAACCUUAGCAAUUGACGUUAGCGACAGAAGAAGCACCGGCUAACUCCGUGCCAGCAGCCGCGGUAAUACGGAGGGUGCGAGCGUUAAUCGGAAUUACUGGGCGUAAAGGGCACGCAGGCGGUUAAUUAAGUUGGAUGUGAAAUCCCCGGGCUUAACCUGGGAAUGGCAUUCAAGACUGGUUAGCUAGAGUCUUGUAGAGGGGGUAGAAUUCCAUGUGUAGCGGUGAAAUGCGUAGAGAUGUGGAGGAAUACCGGUGGGCGAAGGCGGCCCCUGGGACAAAGGACUGACGCUCAUGUGCGAAAGCGUGGGGAGCAAACAGGGAUUAGAUACC
This 456-nucleotide ribosomal RNA is filed under the name uncultured bacterium. RNAcentral describes it as "bacterial SSU rRNA". It matches the Rfam family "Bacterial small subunit ribosomal RNA", at positions 340 to 786 of the family's 1533-position model. The record is from RNAcentral.